GUUUAAGGAUAUAUGUACACUGAUUAGUUUGUUAGGGAUCUACCUCCCACUGAGUUCUGCCUCUUUUCGUGGAGGUGUUGUCCCCACACAAGCCUGCAGGGUGCCAGAGAAAUGACUCUCAUUUGGAUUUAAGUGAAGUGUGUUCCCUUAAGCCUGUGCAGCUGCUAAUCUUUGCUCAGUAGAUGUAAAGCAAUUUUCUGGAAGCUUUUAUCACACACAAAGCUACAAACAACUCUGUUAACUUGAGAUAUCAUAUUAGAGGAGAGCCCCAAGAGAAAAUCCACUUUAGAGUCAAGGACAGCCUCUUAGCAAAUGUGAUUUGGCCCAAGAACAAACAUGGAAUCUGCUUGCUGGUGAUCAGUUACAGAGUUAAACUCUACACCACCGCUCUGGCACCACUAAAGGCCCCUGGCUGCAUCCUCCCCCUGCUGUGACCUCAGGAUAAGGGAAAACAACUCCUCUCCUGCUAUUGUUCUCACACCAUGGGGUGGCUCCUGCUGGAUCCUGGACAAGACUUUGUCACUGCACAGGACAGAGAGCUACAGACACACAGAUGGAAAUGGCAGCGGAUUUAUGUAAGAUGUGAGAAAUAGAUACGGUAUCACUGCUAAGAGGUUUUAGCAGUGAUACUUAGCACUUCCUUCCUUACAGUAUGUGUACCAUGAGUCUAUGUUGUUUGAUAUUUUUAAUUAUAUUUCACAUUUUUGUUAUUGGCUACUCCAAUGAAAACAGGAACUGACUUCAUCCAUCACAAGAAUAGACACAUUGUUUGUACAUUAACACAAAAAAUAUUAGAUCUUUGAACUAAAUUCUUAUUUAAAUAAAUCUCUACAAAUCUCUCCAGUCAUAUAUAUGUAAGCUGUAUACUUGUCCUCCAUUUUAUAUCCAUAUCCAAAUAUAAUAAAAGAGCUGCAUUUUCUGGGACAAUUUAUAGUUUGUUUUCAGUGCUGUGUGACUCACAGCCAUUAUAGCCUUUUCAGGCAAAAUGGUGGUUUGCAGUGAGAGACUACUCAGACUCAUUUCCUCAUGCCAAUCUAAAGUGAUAACGAGUCCAGGCUUAUUGGAGUUGUCCUGCUGAGAGGAUAAAUCCUGUUGGUUUACUCUGGUAAACAUGUGCCACACGACACCAUCCUACACAAACACAGCUCUUCACACAUGGUUAUUCAAUCAGUCUUCACCUGAGCUUUCCAGAUUAAUAGCUGGUGUGUAGAGCCAAGAUGGUGACAACCCUCUGUGCUUCCAGUGGCACUCACACUGCCUUUCUUCCACUAUGCCAAAAAGAGUUGUAUAACUCAGAUGUCGGAAUGUUACAAUGUCUUCCAGAUGAGUGAAAAAAGUAUAUGAGAACAAGGGCUUUUAAAUCAUUUCCAUAUUUAAUAUUAUUAUCUAAUAACGGAGAGAAAUAGGUCUAAAAAGAUAUACACAACCGAAUAUUUGAGGAAAUGACAAACUGGGAUUAAAUUCACAGAUAAAUAUAAGACAACAGAAUAUUUUUAUAUUUACUAAUACAUUAUCUAUGAGCUCAGGAUGAGAACAUUAAUGAAUGAAACAACACUGUGGUUUAUAGAUACAGGUUGGAACAUCCCAAAAGACAUAUUAUUAAUCCCGUCUCUUAUAGCAGCUAUAAACACUCCCUUCAAAAGCCUCUACUUCUUGCUCUAUCUUGAAAUUAAUAAAAGUAAAAAUGUCACUAAAUGAAAGCACAGAAUCCUCAGAGUGAAAAAUUUACUGACUAUUACAGAGUGCUGAAACUGGAGACUCCUUCGGUAAGUGUUAAAUAAAUGCCUCCUUAUAGCAUCGUUUUCCAUUUUUCGUGAAAUAACAGCAUGUAUUUUCUGCCAUGCAGGUCCUUGUGAAUGAACUGUUACUGUAGAAAAAAUACCAUAUUAAAAUGUAAGUAAAUGAAUUAGGAAUGAGAGACAAAAUUAAGCCCCACCUUCUGACCAAACAGAUUUGAGAAUUCAACAGUUUCCUCUGUU
Long non-coding RNA from Tachysurus fulvidraco (yellow catfish), 1979 nucleotides. RefSeq lists it as uncharacterized. The transcript has 3 exons. The record is from RefSeq and is a predicted model, not a curated record. Lineage: Eukaryota; Metazoa; Chordata; Actinopteri; Siluriformes; Bagridae.